This 253-nucleotide ribosomal RNA is filed under the name uncultured bacterium. RNAcentral describes it as "partial 16S ribosomal RNA". It matches the Rfam family "Bacterial small subunit ribosomal RNA", at positions 524 to 776 of the family's 1533-position model. The record is from RNAcentral.
UACGUAGGGGUCGAGCGUUGUCCGGAAUUACUGGGCGUAAAGCGUGCGCAGGCGGUUCGUUGUGUCGGUGGUGAAAGCCCCGGGCUUAACCUGGGAAUGGCCAUGGAAACUGGCGAACUGGAGUGUGGCAGAGGGGGGUGGAAUUCCGCGUGUAGCAGUGAAAUGCGUAGAGAUGCGGAGGAACACCGAUGGCGAAGGCAGCCCCCUGGGCUAGCACUGACGCUCAGGCACGAAAGCGUGGGGAGCAAACAGG